Molecule: ribosomal RNA, 687 nt
Filed under: Triticum aestivum (bread wheat)
Lineage: Eukaryota; Viridiplantae; Streptophyta; Magnoliopsida; Poales; Poaceae
Description: partial small subunit ribosomal RNA
Source: RNAcentral
AUGGCACCCCGCGCCCCAGCCGCCGCCGACCCUGACCGCCGCCUCGUCUCCUUCACCUUCGACGCGGUCACCGACGGCAGUUUAGUUAUACAUUACUUUGCCAAGGAAGGAAAAGACUGCAAUUUUUCUUCAGUGUAUCCAGACUUGCAGACACCAACAAAGAUACCUUUCCAGAAAGGAUUGGCUCAAAAUUAUGUCCAGCCCUCUGGAUCUGGCAUUGAUCUGGGAUUCUUUUCUCUGGAUGAGCUUUCAAAUCCUUCAGAGGAAGUAUACCCACUGGUAGUUUAUGCGGAAGCUUCUCCAUCUCCAGAGGAAGGUGGUCAAACAGUAAACUCCACACGGGCACAAAUUACACUUGCUGUUAUAGAGAAACAUAACGACGAUCUUCAAGUCAAAGUUGUCAAGCAAAUAUUGUGGAUUAAUGGUGUGCGCUAUGAACUGAAAGAAAUAUAUGGGAUUGUCAACUCCACGGAAGCUGAUGUUCCUGAUGCUGACGAUGAUGGCAUGGGGAAAGAAUGCGUUAUCUGCUUGACAGAGCCAAGGGACACUGCUGUUUUUCCUUGCAGGCAUUUGUGUAUGUGCAGUGAAUGUGCACAAGCUCUAAGGCUCCAAUCAAAUAAAUGCCCCAUAUGCAGACAGCCUGUUGAGAAACUAAUGGAGAUCAAAGUUAGGAGUUCUGAGCCAUAA